CCUUUUUCAUUAUCCAUGAAUGUUGACUCUGAUAAGGGGAUCCUGACCAUGAGAGCAUCUCUCUGUCUCGGUCUCCGGCGCUCUUUGCAGUCCUUUGUUUUAUCUCAGGUGAAUUGUAAUCAUGUGAUCAAACGAACACCCCCCUUCCAUUACCCUCUUAAAUGAAAAAAUGAGGAACAAAAAGCAGUUCUGUGUAUAUAAAAAAAGAAAAGAAAAGAGAAAAGACGCGCGUCUCCCUUUGGAGAGUCUUUUCUCCGUGUGGCUUCAAACGUACACAUAUAGAGGAAAAGCGCGGCGCCGUGUCUCCGUCUCUCGGCGGUACAGAUGUGCGGGGAUCACGCGGAUCUGAGGCCUGCUGCACGCUUUGAUGUGAGUGUCUCCCGGUUGCUCUGUUAGGGAAGAGAGAGACAUGAAGUGGAGUCAGGAAGCAGAGUUUGUGAGGAUAGAUGGAGGGUGAGGGGGAACGGCUCAUAAUGAGCAGCGCAGGGGGCAGUAAACGCUGACAAUGAGCCUCUGUUACUGACCCACACAAUACAGCACUAUCAGUUUCAUCACGCUUCUCUCUCAGUCAGGAAUGAGUCUGUCUGCCUCAGGCCUGGAUCCCCAGACUUCUCUCUCUCCAUCAGACGCGCUGCAGAGCUUCAGCCAUGGCUCUGGAUCCAUGACACUGUGUUUGUGCUGUCGUUUAGUGAAUGAUCACCCUACUAAUGGACUGACAUGGGUUGGUUAAUUAGUGGAAGCAGGUUACUGAAAAACCUUCUACAAGUGAUUCACCUGAACAAGAGGAAGACUGAGUCAAAGAUAUCGAGCUGUGGAGGAGUGAGAGUUCUGAGAGAGAGA
Molecule: long non-coding RNA, 840 nt
Organism: Cyprinus carpio carpio
Lineage: Eukaryota; Metazoa; Chordata; Actinopteri; Cypriniformes; Cyprinidae
Source: Ensembl